This 520-nucleotide ribosomal RNA is filed under the name Hydrophis curtus (Shaw's sea snake). Its description in RNAcentral is "partial 16S ribosomal RNA". It matches the Rfam family "Bacterial large subunit ribosomal RNA", at positions 1814 to 2607 of the family's 2925-position model. Lineage: Eukaryota; Metazoa; Chordata; Lepidosauria; Squamata; Elapidae. The record is from RNAcentral.
CAUAACCUUUAGCUAAACCAGUAUUAAAGGCAACGCCUGCCCAGUGAAUAAUUAAACGGCCGCGGUACCCUAACCGUGCAAAGGUAGCGUAAUCAUUUGUCUAUUAAUUGUAGACCUGUAUGAAAGGCAUAAUGAGGGUUUAACUGUCUCUUUUAGUAAAUCAAUUAAACUGAUCUCCUAGUCCAAAAGCUAGGAUACCAACAUAAGACCAGAAGACCCUGUGAAACUUUAACUAAAAUAUUAAAGCCUAUAAUAACUACUUUAGGUUGGGGCGACCUUGGAAAAUAAAAGAACUUCCAUACACAUAUUAUACAAUAAUAUAUCACCGGCUAACAAGCCUACAACGACCCAGCACAGCUGAUAAUUGAACCAAGCUACUCCAGGGAUAACAGCGCUAUCUUCUUCAAGAGCCCAUAUCAAAAAGAAGGUUUACGACCUCGAUGUUGGAUCAGGACAUCCUAAUGGUGCAACCGCUAUUAAGGGUUCGUUUGUUCAACGAUUAAUAGUCCUACGUGAUCUG